UCUCCGUUGGUGAACCAGCGGAGGGAUCAUUACAGAGUUUUCACAACUCCCAACCUUUGCGAACCGUACCCAUUCUGUUCUCGUUGCUUCCGGCGGGUGGGACGGGGGGGCCCUAAACGUCCUCCCCGCCCCGCCCGCCGGGUGCGGCGUGCCCUACGAACCUUUUUAUCUCCUCCCCCCGCCACCGUCCUAGAAAACCAUCAUCAUAAUCCAAACUUACAACAACGGAUCUCUUGCAUCUGGCAUCGAUGAAGAACGCAUCAGAUCGUAAGCACCCAC
This 279-nucleotide unclassified non-coding RNA is filed under the name plant metagenome. RNAcentral's name for it is "partial contains small subunit ribosomal RNA, internal transcribed spacer 1, and 5.8S ribosomal RNA". The record is from RNAcentral.